GAGCUGAGCUGUCCACCUUAGUAGGGAAACGAACUACAAAGCUCCUCAGAUUGUCUAAAUUCCCAGUAUUGUAUUGGAAAUUGAAUUCGACGGAGGCUUAGAUUAUACAGCGCCCGCCCGCAUAUCUGGAAUUUGUGGAAGGUGAAGCAGCAAAGCGGUGGGAAGGUGACAAAGACAAUAAUUAUAUGCUGUGUGGGUGGGUCGUUUCAAGAGAGAGAGAUGAUCACUCGGUCUAAACUGGUGGAGCAACUCCGUGAUUACCAGAUCCGAUUCCAGCAUAAAUGUCCCGCUCUUACCGUCUUCUCUCCCAAACCCCUCCUCACAACCUGGGAUGAUGUUAUGGUGGCCAUCUUGUGGGCAUCAUUGUUCAGUGCACUUGUCAUAUCAUCAUAUGUGACCCUAUAUUUCAGACACUACUGGGUUUCUUUUGUGAUCAUGUGCUUUGGUAUUUUUCUUCCAGUUCGCUUGAGAAUUUCACGGCAGGUGCUUGCAAGGAAAAAAGAAAGACUAUUACCACUGUCGUUUUGAUCACCGCUUCUGUUGCAGUAGCUGCAGAGCCGAGUUUGACUGACUGGUACAUUCACUGAACCGUGGUGCUGAUUUUGUUAAGAGCUCUGACUUAGUUCAGGUAUCUUUAUCACCUCUCGUGACGACGGUGGCGCAAUGAUCUCUCUCUCUCUCCAUCUUCUUCAAGAAGCCUUGAAAUUUUACCAAGCAAUUCAUUCCUCUACCUGUAAAACUUCUCAAAGGAGAGUAUACAAAGGUCUUAUGACUCUCAGAAUUUCUUCCAGUUGAUUGCAAUGUUAUUGAAAGGAAUAGAUUCAAAGUCAGAGAUAUGUGUUUAGAUGUUUUAUCAAAAGUUAGGACAAAAAGGCGAAAUAUAUAUAUAGUCUGUGAGAAGAGCCUCUUACAGGUAUCAAGAGUAGGUGCUAAGGUAAGAAAGGAACCCCUUCUAGCAUAUGUCCAUUAUCCGACAUUGAGUUGGCAUGUAAAUAAAGGCAAUGGCUUUACUUGGUCUUUUACUUUCUUCUCUGCA
Coffea eugenioides is the source of this 1036-nucleotide long non-coding RNA. RefSeq lists it as uncharacterized. The transcript is spliced from 2 exons. Lineage: Eukaryota; Viridiplantae; Streptophyta; Magnoliopsida; Gentianales; Rubiaceae. The record is from RefSeq and is a predicted model, not a curated record.